RNAcentral lists this long non-coding RNA (5537 nucleotides) under Sus scrofa (pig). RNAcentral's name for it is "lncRNA (ENSSSCG00000061399.1)". Lineage: Eukaryota; Metazoa; Chordata; Mammalia; Artiodactyla; Suidae. The record is from RNAcentral.
GCUAUUGCAAAUAGUGCUGCAAUGAACAUUGGAGUACAUGUGUCUUUGCGAGUUGUGGUUUUCUCUGGAUAGAUGCCCAGGAGUGGGAUUGCUAGAUCAAUGGUAGUUCUAUGUUUAGUUUUCUGAGGAAUCUCCAUACUGCUUUCCACAGUGGUUGCACCAAUUUACAUUCCCACCAACAGUGUAAUAGGGUUCCUUUUUCUCCACACCAUCUCCCGCACUUAUUGUUUGUAGACUUUUGGAUGAUGGCCACUCUGGCUGGUGUAAGGUGGUACCGCAUAGUGGUUUUGAUUUGCAUUUCUCUAAUCAUGAGUGAUGUUGAACAUCUUUUCAUGUGUUUCUCGGCCAUCUGUAUGUCUUCUUUGGAGAACUGUCUGUUUAGAUCUUCUGCCCAUUUUUGGAUGGGGUUGUUUGUUUUUUUGGUAUGGAGCUGCAGGAGAUGUUUAUAAAUUUUGGAGAUUAAUCCCUUGUCAGUCGAUUCAUUUGCAAAGAUUUUCUCCCAUUCUGUGGGCUGUCUUUUCAUUUUGUUUAGGGUUUCCUUUGGUGUGCAGAAACUUUGAAGUUUGAUUAGGUCUCAUUUGUCUGUUUUUGUUUUUAUUGUCAAUACUCUGAUAGGUGGAUCUGAGAAGAUGUUGCUGUCGUUUAUGUCAGAGAGUGUUUGGCCUAUGUUUUCCUCUAAGAGUUUUAUAGUGUCUGGACUUAUAUGUAGGUCUUUAAUCCAUUUGGAGUUUAUUUUUGUGUAUGGUGUUAGGAAGUUUUCUAAUUUCAUUCUUUUAUAUGUGGCUGUCCAGUUUUCCCAGCACCACUUAUUGAACAAGCUGUCCUUUCUCCAUGGUAUAUUCUUGCCUCCUUUGUCAUAGAUUAGUUGGCUAUGGGUGCGUGGGUUUAAUUCUGGGCUUUCUAUGCUGUUCCAUGGAUCUAUAUUUCUGUCUUUGUGCCAGUACCAUACAGUUUUGAUGAUUGUUGCUUUGUAGUAUAGUCUUAAGUCUGGGAACCUGAUUCCUCCAGCUCCAUUUUUCUUUUUCAGGAUGUCUUUGGCUAUUCUGGGUCUUUUGUGCUUCCAAACAAACUUAAAAAUAUUUUGUUUGAGUUCUGUGAAAGAUGUCCUUGGUAAUUUGAUAGGGAUUGCAUUGAAUCUGUAUAUUGCCUUAGAUAGUAUAUUCAUUUUGAUACUAUUGACUCUUCCAAUCUAAGAGCAUGGUAUAUCUUUCCAUCUAUUUGUGUCAUCUUUGAUUUCUUUCAUCACCGUCUUCUAGUUUUCAGAGUACAGGUCUUUUGUCUCUUUAGGUAGGUUUACUCCUAGGUAUUUUAUUCUUUUGGAUGCAAUUGUAGACGGAUUGCUUGCUAAUUUCUCUCUCUGCUCUUUCAUUGUUAGUGUAUAGAAAUGCCAUCGAUUUCUUUUUUUUUUUAAUGAAUAUGUGUACUUUAUUUUUUUAUUUUAUUUUAUUUUUAUUAUUUUCCCACUGUACAGCAAGGGGGUCAGGUCAUCCUUAGAUGUAUACAUUGCAGUUACAGUUUUUUCCCCCACCCUUUCUUCUGUUGCGACAUGAGUAUCUAGACAUAGUUCUCAAUGCUAUUCAGCAGGAUCUCCUUAUAAAUCUAUUCUAGGUUGUGUCUGAUAAGCCCAAGCUCCCGAUCCCUCCCACUCCCUCCCCCUCCCAUCAGGCAACCACAAGUCUCUUCUCCAAGUCCAUGAUUUUCUUUUCUGAGGAGAUGUUCAUUUGUGCUGGAUAUUAGAUUCCAGUUAUAAGUGAUAUCAUAUGGUAUUUGUCUUUGUCGAUUUCUGUGUAUUCAUUUUGUAUCCUGCAACUUUGCCAAAUUCGAGGAUGAGCUCCAACAGUUUUCUGGUUUAGUCUUUAGGAUUCUCUAGGUAUAGUAUCUUGUCAUCUGCAAAUAGGGAUAGUUUUACUUCUUCCCUUACAAUUUGGAUUCCUUUUAUUUCUUCUUUGAUUGCCAUGGCUAGGACUUCCAAAACUAUGUUGAAGAGUAGUGGUGAGAGUGGACAUCCUUGUCUUAUUCCUGAUCUCAGUGGGAAUUCUUUCAGCUUUUCCCCAUUGAGAAUGAUGUUCGCUGUGGGUUUGUCAUAUAUGGUCUUUACCAUGUUGAGGUAGGUUCCUGCUAUGCCCACUUCCUGAAGGGUUUUUAUCAGAAAUGGGUGUUGGAUUUUGUCAAAGGCUUUUUCUGCGUCUAUUGAGAGGAUCAUAUGGUUUUUAUUCUUCAGUUUGUUCAUGUGGUGUAUCACACUGAUGGAUUUGCAGGUAUUGAAGAACACUUGCAUUCCUGGGAUAAAUCCCACUUGAUCGUGAUGUACAAUUCUUUUGAUGUAUUGCUGGAUUCGGUUUGCUAGUAUUUUGUUGAGGAUUUUUGCAUCAAUGUUCAUCAAUGAAAUUGGCCUGUAGUUUUCUUUUUUUGUGGUAUCUUUGUCUGGUUUUGGUAUCAGGGUGAUGGUGGCCUCAUAGAAUGAGUUUGGGAGUAUCCCUCCCUCUGCAAUUUUUUGAAAUAGUUUCAUAAGGAUAGGUGUUAGCUCUUCUCUAAAUGUUUGACAGAAUUCGCCUGUGGAGCCAUCUGGUCCUGGACUUUUGUUUGUUGGAAGUUUUUAAAUCACAGUUUCAAUUUCAUUUCUUGUGAUGGAUCCAUUCAAAUUUUCUGUUUCGUCUUGCUUUAGUCUUGGAAGAUUGUACGUUUCUAAGAAUUUGUCCAUUUCUUCUAGGUUUUCCAUUUUAUUGGCAUAUAGUUGCAUAUCAUAGUCUCUUAUGAUGCUUUGUAUUUCUGUGAUGUCUGUUGUUACUUCUCCUUUUUCAUUUCUAAUUUUAUUGAUUUGAGUUCUCUCGAUAAGUCUGGCUAAGGGUUUAUCAAUUUUGUUGAUGUUUUCAAAGAACAAGCUUUUCAUUUCAUUGAUCUUUCCUAUGGGUUUCUUUGUUUCUAUUUCAUUGAUUUCUGCUCUGAUCUUUAUUUCUUUCCUUCUACUAACCCUAGGUCUUGUCUGUUCUUCUCUCUUGAGCUGCUUUAGAUGUAGAGUUAGGUUGUUUGAGCUUUUUUCUUGUUUCCUGAGGUGGGCUUGUGUUGCUCUAAGCUUUCCUCUUAGAACGGCUUUUGCUGUAUCCCAUAGGUUUUGGAGUGUCAUAUCUUUGUUGUCAUUUGCUUCUAGGUAUUUUUUUAAUUUCCUCUUUGAGUUCUUCAGCUAUCCAUUGCUUGUUUAGUAGCAUGUUGUUGAGUCUCCAUGUGUUUGUGUUUUUUGCAGAUUUUCCUUGUUGUUGAUUUCCAGUCGUAUAGCAUUGUGGUCAGAAAAGAUGCUUCAUAUGAUUUCAAUUUUCUUAAAGUUACCAAGGUUGGAUUUGUAGCCCAGGAUGUAAUCAGUCUUAGAGAAUGUUCCAUGUGCACUUGUGAAGAAUGUGUAUUCUGUUGCUUUUGGAUGGAAAUAUCUAUGAAGUCCAUCUGGUUUAAUGUUUCAUUCAGGGACUGUGUUUCCUUGUUGAUUUUCUGUCUGGAUGAUCUGUCCAUUGCUGUAAGUGGGGUGUUAACAUCCCCCACUAUGAUUGUGUUAUUGUUGAUUUGUCCUUUUAAGGUUGUUAGCAGUUGCCUUAUAUGUUGUGGUGAACCUAUGUUGGGUGUGUAGAUAUUUAAAAUUGUUACAUCUUCUUCUUGGAUUGAUCCUUUGAUCAUUAUGUAAUGACCUUCUUUUUCCCUUAAGAUAUUCUUCAUUUUAAAGUCUAUUUUGUCUUUUAUGAGUAUUGCUACUCCAGCUUUCUUUUGAUCCCCGUUUGCAUGAAAUAUUUUCUUCCAUCUUCUCACUUUCAAUUUGUAUGUGUCCCUAGAAGUGAAGUGGGUCUGUUGUAGACAGCAUAUAUAUGGGUCUUGUUUUUGUAUCCAUUCAGCCAGUCUAUGUCUUUUGGUUGGUGCAUUUAGUCCAUUAACAUUUAAUGUAAUUAUUGAUAUGUAUGUUCUUAUUGCCAUUUUAUUAAUUGCUUUGGAUUUGUUUUUGUUGCUCUUUUUUCUUUCCUUCUUCUCUUGUUCUCUCCUCUUGUGGUUUGAUGACUAUCUUUAGUGUUGUAUUUGAGUUGAUUUUUCUUUGUGUAUAAAUUGUAGAUUUUUGGUUUGCAGUUAUUCUGAAGUUUUGAUAUGAGUCUAUAUGUAUAUGAGAUUGUUUUAAGUUGUUGUUCUCUUAAUUGCAAGUUCAUCUCCAGUGUCCUGAAUUUGUAUCCACCCCUUCUCAUGAUUUCUGAUUUUGGUGACAUAAUUGUGCAUGGAUGAUUUUGUAUCUUUACUGUAUAUAUACCUUUACUGGUGAGCCUUGUCAUUUGUGGAAUUUUUGUUUCCUGUUGCUGUCUUUUCUUUUCUGCCUAGAGAAGUUCCUUUAGUAUUUGUUGUAAGGCUGGUUUAGUGUUGCUGAAUUCUCUCAGCUUUUGCUUAUCUGUGAAGGUUUUGAUUUCUCCUUCCAAUCUGAAUGAGAGGCUUGCUGGGUAAAGUAAUGUUGGUUGGAGGUUUUUCUCUUUCAUCACGUUAAGUAUAUAUAUCAUGCCACUCCCUUCUGGCCUGCAGAGUUUCUGCUGAAAAAUCUGCUGAUAGCCUUAUUGGGGUUCUCUUGUAUGUUAUUUGUUUCUUUUUCCUAGCUGCUUUCAAUAUUUUCUAUUUGUCUUUAAUUUUGGUCAGUUUGAUUAAUAUGUGUCUUGGUGUAUUCCUCCUUGGGUUUAUUUUAUAUGGUACUCGUUGUGCUUCCUGGAUUUGAGUGAGUGGUUCCUUUCCCAUAUGAGGGAAGUUUUUGACUAUUAUCUCUUGGAAUAUUUUUUCCAUCCCUUUCUCUCUCUCUUCUCCUUCUGGCACCCCUAUAAUACGGAUGUUGUUGUGUUUAACAUUUUCCCAGAGUUCUCUGAGACUCUCUUCAUUUGUUUUCAAUCUUUUUUCUCUUUUCUGUUCUGCAUUCAUAAUUUCUUCUAUGUCCUCCACCUCGCUUAUUCGUUCUUCUGCCUCCUGUAUUCUGCUCUGAGCUGCUUCUAGUGAAUUUUUUAUUUCAGUUAUUGUAUUUUGCAUCUCUUCUUGUUUUAAGUUUUAUAUCUUGUAUCUGUCUGGUCAGUGUUUCCUGUAAGUUAUCCAUCUUUGCCUCCAGUUUAUUUCCAAUGUCUUGCAUCAUCUUUAGCAUCAACAGUCUAAAGUCUUUUUCCUGGAGGCUGAAAAUCUCCUCAUUGCUUAGCUGAUUUUCUGGGGUUUUUCCUUUCUCCCUCAUCUGAGUUACAGUUCUCUGUCUUUUCAUUUUUAUAGGUUUUUGGUAUGGUGACCCUUUACAGAUAGUAGAGUUGUAGGCUUUCUUACUUCUGGUGUCUUCCCACCUUGUGGCUGAAGUUGGUAUAGGGGCUUGUUGUGGGCUUCCUGAUGGGAGGGACUGAUGCCUGCCCACUGGUAGGUGGAGCUGAUUCUAAUCCCUCUGGUGGGCGGCUCGGAUCCCGCGUUGCUGUGGCUCUGGUGUAGGCUGGUGGCUACAGCUCCGAUUGGACCCCUAGCCUGGGAACCUCCAUAUGCCACGGGAAGUGGCCCUAGAAAAG